Molecule: RNA transcript, 2018 nt
Organism: Mycetomoellerius zeteki
Lineage: Eukaryota; Metazoa; Arthropoda; Insecta; Hymenoptera; Formicidae
Gene name: nucleoplasmin-like protein ANO39
Exons: 5
Source: RefSeq, a predicted model, not a curated record
GUUGCGUCGAGACAAGACACUCAAGAAGAGGUACGAGAAUCGAAUGCAUCGCCGCGUGCCGACAUCCGAGUUAUUCGAUCAACAAAAAUAAUCGGAAAGUGCAUCCUCGGAGUUUUGGUCGAUCAUCAACUUUCAUUGAAUUGGUUGACUCUCAGUUGGAAAACUACUUCGAAUGCCGCCUAACACAUAUCGCGUUGCAAUGGAAAUCCGCGAAAAUGACUACACUGGUCCCGGACUAAAAAUAUUUAGGUAAACAACGUGGUACCAUAUACUUUGUCAAGAUGACAGAGAAACGACUGUCGUUGGGCAUCAACGUAAGCAUUUUGCUGAUAUUGACGAUAUUUGGCGUGCUUCUGUCUUUGCCUUUGCGAUUGUUGUUCGACACGAAUUACUCCGACCAGAAUCACGGAGAUGAAAGUGAUGUCAGUGACCCGGGCAAGAAAGAAAGAGAACACGCGAUACCGAUAGAUCAUCGAAAAUUAAAGCGCUGUCCGAAUCUGCAGUACGAGGAUCGCUUGAUGUCCGUCUUUAUGAGCGAUUACGACGGAAAUUGCACGUACGUGCAAGACGACGAGAGCUACGAUGACGAAGAUGACGACGAUGAUGACAGCGACUCUGAAGAGGAAGAGGAUAGUAGAGAGGAUGAGGACGAUGAGGAGGAGGAAACAUACAGGUCCAAGAAGAGCAUCGAAGAAAUGAAAGAAAGCGCUGAAGAGAUCUUGAAGUCGCGUCAAAUGAAGUCCGUCACGGUGGCAGGCCACAUACUCGUGACGAUGUUGCUCGUAUCAGUAAUAGCUGCCCUCGUUGAAGUACUGCGAAUACGCUUCGCCAGAGAAAAAGAUUCGUCUAGGGCAGGCACGAUUAUUUCACGGAGAUGCUCCUCCAACGUGGACAUACCCGCCACAAGACGUCCCAUUUCAAGAGAAUUAAUUAGAAGCCAUAAGUCCUUUGACAUACCAGGAGUGCAUCAUUCCGCACUGCGUCUGUUAGGAGCGCGGCCGCCCCCGCUUAUCCGUCGCUCCUCAUUUCCAACACCACAAGCGAAGAAAGCCGCUACUUCGUCUCUUUGCGGUAUACCAAGUAAAGGGCUAACGCGGCGUCAAUCGAUUGAAUCGGAAGAAGAAAUCAAGAUUGCUACUAACACUCUUCAUCAUCGCACCCGUCUAAUUCGACGCCAUUAAAACGACGAGAACAGUAUAUAUCAAACCAUCAAAUGCCUUGUAUCAUCGGUGACAAAAUUAACAGAGUAUACGUCUUCUACUAUACGAUAAGUAUGUCACUUGUCAACAGGUAACAUGCAACGCACAAUCGAUCACAUUCGAUCAUCUUUCUUACGCUUGCGCAACGUCGAAAAAUUUAAGAAACAGAUCUUCCAACGCAUCCCUUACGGCGGCUUCAAUAGUGCUCCAUUUCCGCGACGCUUUUAUAUCACGCUGUUUAUUAAGUUUUGCUUUCUAGCCAAGCAAUCUUUGAAAUAUUUAAGAUUACAUUGAUUAAUAUACAGAAUCAAUUUUCAAGAUCAAAAACUAUCGCAUGAGCUACGGUGGAAAGCUGAAUUACUACAGCAUGCCUGGACUAACAUGUUUCAACAAAGUAAUUUCUAUUUUUUCCAUAUCCAUCGUACAACGCUUUAAGGUCAUUUAAUCAAAUGAAAGUAACUACAAUCAAUCUAACUUAACUUUCAAUAAAUUAUUAUCAAUCUUCUUAUCGCGCAAUAAUAUUUGUUUCUAAUGGACGUUCUAAAAAUGUAUGAGAAAAGCCAAAUGUAUAUUCUUAAAUUCAAUUGCAACUAAAAGGGUGCAGUCUACUUGGCGCUAUACAAAUACUUCGAAGUAUUUGAUUGACCAAAAAUUAAUCUUUCAGAAAAAAGAAUUUCACUAAUCGAUUAAUCAAAAAAUGCUUUGAAGCAUUUAUAGCAUCAAGUAGACUGUAGUCUAAAUUAAUGAUGUAGCAAAACUUUCAUUUGAGAUAAAGAAAAAAUUAUUUUUUUAAAAACACUUCUCUGAUGUGUGUGUGUG